GAGGGUAUAGCUCCGUGGUAGAGUGCAUGCUUAGCAUGCAUGAGGUCCUGGGUUCAAUUCCCAGUACCUCCU
RNAcentral lists this transfer RNA (72 nucleotides) under Camelus bactrianus (Bactrian camel). It matches the Rfam family "tRNA". From Rfam's summary of the family: Transfer RNA (tRNA) molecules are approximately 80 nucleotides in length. Their secondary structure includes four short double-helical elements and three loops (D, anti-codon, and T loops). Further hydrogen bonds mediate the characteristic L-shaped molecular structure. tRNAs have two regions of fundamental functional importance: the anti-codon, which is responsible for specific mRNA codon recognition, and the 3' end, to which the tRNAs corresponding amino acid is attached (by aminoacyl-tRNA synthetases). tRNAs cope with the degeneracy of the genetic code in two manners: having more than one tRNA (with a specific anti-codon) for a particular amino acid; and 'wobble' base-pairing, i.e. permitting non-standard base-pairing at the 3rd anti-codon position. Lineage: Eukaryota; Metazoa; Chordata; Mammalia; Artiodactyla; Camelidae. RNAcentral also lists the same sequence under 2 other names. The record is from Rfam by way of RNAcentral.